AGAGAUCUAGUCAACAACUUAUUACUUUAACUAUAGCCAAUACUCAAUUAUAUGAAAAUAAUUCUAUACUAUUAAUUAUAUGAAAAUAAUUCUAUACUAUUAAUUAUAUGAAAAUAAUUCUAUAUCUUAUAGAGAGUAUAAGUUUUUUGUUUAUUAUAUGCAACUAUAUUGAUGGCUACUAUUAGACAUCUAAAUCUACAUCUUUGUUUUGUUUCUAGUUGCUGAAGAUAAAUAACUUGGUUGGAGAUUCAAUAAAUACCUACUUCAAAUAUUAAAAAGUAAUCUUAAAUAUUACUUAAUAUACAAUGUCUAUACUUUAGGAGUCACUCUUUAUUGGUGCUUUUGAUAUGUUGCAUUUUAUGACUAUUUUAGCCUAUAUAUAAAGCCUUUUUCUUUCUUUUCAAUCAUAAUACAAACUUAACUUUAUUUCACUUGUGUAUUAAUUAUAAUUUCUAAAAUGAGCUAUUUGUCUCAUUAUUUUUCU
Molecule: long non-coding RNA, 484 nt
Filed under: Physcomitrium patens
Lineage: Eukaryota; Viridiplantae; Streptophyta; Bryopsida; Funariales; Funariaceae
Description: long non-coding RNA (PPAT_LNC005227)
Source: RNAcentral